GGCAUUAAAACAUAGUCAUUAUGGAGCAUGAAAUAUAGGACUGAUCGAGUGACCCAACUUUGGUCCUAACCUGAAUAGAUCCUUCUAUCCAGUUUUAAGAUUGCACAUCACCUUAUAUCAGAGAACUGAUCCAAUGUAUCACAACAUAUAUGCAGUGUUUUUCUUUCUUUUUUCUUAAAAAUGAUUGAUUCCUGGAAAAGCAAUUCUAAUGUAUAAAAAAUAAAAAAAUAAUUUCCAUUAAAAG
RNAcentral lists this long non-coding RNA (244 nucleotides) under Mytilus galloprovincialis (Mediterranean mussel). Lineage: Eukaryota; Metazoa; Mollusca; Bivalvia; Mytilida; Mytilidae. The record is from RNAcentral.